AUGGAUCUCUAUGGGGCACUAUUGGGUCCUAUAGGGCACAAUGGGUCUCUGUGGGGCUCUGUGGUUCUCUAUGGGUCCCUAUGGGUCUCUAUGUGUCUCUAUGUGUCUCUAUGUGUCCCUAUGGGGUCUCUAUGGGUCCCUAUGGGGUCUCUAUGUGUCUCUGUGUGGUCCCUAUGUGUCCCUAUAGGUCUCUACAGGUCCCUAUGGGUCCCUAUGGGUCCCUAUGGGGUCUCUAUGGAUCUUUAUGGGGUCCCUAUGUGUCCAUAUGGGUCUCUAUGGGGUCCCUAUGGGUCCCUAUGGGUCUCUAUGGGUCUCUAUGGGUCCCUAUGUGUCCCUAUGGAUCUCUAUGGGUCUCUAUGUGUCCCUAUGUGUCCAUAUGGGUCUCUAUGGGUCUCUAUGGGUCUCUAUGGGUCCCUAUGGGUCCCUAUGGGGUCUCUAUGGAUCUUUAUGGGGUCCCUAUGUGUCCAUAUGGGUCUCUAUGGGGUCCCUAUGUGUCCAUAUGGGUCUCUAUGGGGUCCCUAUGUGUCCAUAUGGGUCUCUAUGGGGUCCCUAUGGGGUCCCCAUGGGUCCCUAUGGGUCUCUAUGGGUCCCUAUGUGUCCCUAUGGAUCUCUAUGGGUCCCUAUGUGUCCCUAUGGAUCUCUAUGGGUCUCUAUGUGUCCCUAUGGGUCCCAAUGUGGUCUCUAUGGGCCCCUAUGUGUCUCUAUGGGUCCCUAUGUGUCCAUAUGUGUCUCUAUGGGGUCUCUAUGGGUCCCUAUGGGGUUCCUAUGGGGUCUGUAUGGAUCUUUAUGGGGUCUCAAUGGGUCUCUAUGUGUCCCUAUGGGUCUCUAUGGGUCCCUAUGUGUCCCUGUGUGUCCCUAUGUGUCCCUAUGGGGUCUAUAGGUCUCAGUGGGUCCCUGUGGGUCCCUAUGUGUCCCUAUGGGUCUCUAUGGGGUUCUAUGGGGCUCUAUGGGGCACUAUUGGGUCCUAUAGGGCACAGUGGGUCUCUAUGGGUCCCUAUGUGUCCCUAUGUGUCCCUAUGGGUCUCUAUGGGUCCCUAUGGGUCCCAAUGGGGUCAAUGCAUCCCUAUGGGGUCCCUAUGUGUUUCUAUGGGGCACAAUAGGGUUCUAUGGGACUCUAUAGGACCCAAUGGGGUCCCUAUGGGGUUUCUAUGGGUCUCUAUCGAUCUCUAUGGGUCUCUAUGGGUCCCUAUGGGGCUCUGUAGGUCUCUAUGGAGCACUCAAUGGGGUCUUUAUGUAUCUCUAUGGGUCCCUAUGGGUCUCUAUGUGUCUCUAUGGGUCCCUAUGGGUCUCUAUGUGUCCCUUUGGGUCUCUGUGUGUCUCUAUGGGACGCUAUUGGGUCCUAUAGGGCACAAUGGGCCUCUGUGGGGCUCUAUAGGACCCAAUGGGGUCCCUAUGGGUCCCUAUGUCUCUCUAUGUGUCCCUAUGUGUCUCUAUGGGUCCCUAUGGGUCUCUAUGUGUCUCUAUGGGGUCCCUAUGGGUCUCUAUGUGUCUCUAUGGCCCUCUAUAGGUCCCUAUGUGUCCCUAUGGGUCCCUAUUGGUCCCUAUGGGUCCCUAUGGGGUCUCUAUGGGUCCCUAUGUAUUUCUAUGGGGUCCCUAUGGGUCUUAUGGGGUCUCUAUGUAUCUUUAUGGGGUCUCUAUUGGUCCUUAUUGGUCUCUAUGUGUCCCUAUGUGUCCCUAUGGGUCCCUAUGUCUCUCUAUGGAUCUUUAUGGGGUCCCUAUGGGUCUCUGUGGGUCUCUAUGGGGUCUCUGUGCAUCUCUAUGGGUCUCUAUCGAUCUCUAUGGGUCCCUAUAGGUCUCUAUGGGUCCUAUGUCUCUAUAUGGGGUCUCUAUGGGGCUCUAUGGGGUCUCAAUGGGUUUCUAUGGGGUUCUAUGGGACACUAUAGGGUUCUAUGGGGUCCCUAUGGGGUCCCUCUGGGUCUCUAUGUGUCCCUAUGUGUCCCUAUGUGUCCCUAUGUGUCCCUAUGUGUCUCUAUGGGUCUGUAUGGGUCCCUAUGGAUCUCUAUGUGUCCCUAUGUGUCCCUAUGUGUCCCUAUGUGUCCCUAUGUGUCCCUAUGUGUCCCUAUGGGUCUCUAUGUGUCCCUAUGGGUCUCAGUGUGUCCCUAUGUGUCUCUAUGGGUCUCUAUGUGUCCCUAUGGGUCUGUAUGGGUCCCUAUGGAUCUCUAUGUGUCUCUAUGGGUCCCUAUGGGUCUCUAUGGAGUCUCUAUGGUGUCCCAAUGGGGUCUGUAUUGGGUCUCUAUGGGUCUGAAUGGGGUCUGUGUGUCCCUAUGUAUCCCUAUGGGUCCCAAUGUGGUCUCUAUGGGUCCCUAUGUAUCUCUAUGUAUCUCUAUGGGUCUCUAUGGGUCCCUAUGUAUCUCUAUGGGUCCCUAUGGGUCUCUAUGGGUCCCUAUGUAUCUCUAUGGGUCCCUAUGGGUCUCUAUGGGUCCCUAUGGGGUCUCUAUGGGUCUCUAUGUGCCCCUAUGGGUCUCUAUGGGGUCUCUGGCUCUCAAUGGAUCUCUAUGGGUCCCAAUAGGUCUCAAUAGGGUCAGUGGGUUCCAAUGGGUCCCAAUGGGGUCUAUGGGUCUCUAUGGAUCUCUAUUUGUCCCUAUGGGUCUCUAUGGGUCUGAAUGGGAUCUAUGUGUCUCUAUGGGUCCCUAUGGGUCCCAAUGGGGUCAAUGGGUUUCUAUGGGGUCUAUGGGGUCUCUAUGGGUCUCUAUGGUUCCCUAUGGGUCCCUAUGGUUCUGUAUGGAUCUCUAUGUGUCUCUAUGGGGCACUCUAUGGGGUCUAUGGGGUCUCUAUGGGUCUCUAUGGGGUUCUAUGUGUCCCUAUGUGUCCCUAUGGGUCCCUAUGUGUCCCUAUGUGUCUCUAUGGGGCACAAUAGGGUUCUAUGGGGCUCUAUAG
RNAcentral lists this long non-coding RNA (2877 nucleotides) under Coturnix japonica (Japanese quail). RNAcentral describes it as "lncRNA (ENSCJPG00005002197.1)". Lineage: Eukaryota; Metazoa; Chordata; Aves; Galliformes; Phasianidae. The record is from RNAcentral.